Macrobrachium nipponense is the source of this 2864-nucleotide long non-coding RNA. RefSeq lists it as uncharacterized. The record is from RefSeq and is a predicted model, not a curated record. The transcript has 2 exons. Lineage: Eukaryota; Metazoa; Arthropoda; Malacostraca; Decapoda; Palaemonidae.
GGAAACAAAAUCAACCAAGCAAUUAUAACAAACCAAGAUUGUGUUAAGAUCCAGAGUUCUGACGGUACAUGGAAUGACAAUGAUUGUUCUGAUAAUAAGUGCUACGUCUGCGAAAACCCGGCCUCUUAGCUUCCCUUCCAAGAUCAACUAACUGUGCUGCUGUAGUGCCGACCCACAGGCACCUUCCAGCACUAGGACCCUAGUUUCAACCUGCUCAGGAGACAGAAAACCAUGGACUGACCUUCCCCACAGGUAUAAACACACCAAGGAGUGUAAUUAGUAUUCUUGCUACAUAUAGCUCAGCAGUAUAAUUUACAGAAAUGUAGUUUGGCUACAUAUACCCGUAGCUCGGCAAUGUGUUUUACAGGAAUAGUACUCUGGCUACAUAUGGCUCGGCAAUAUGAUUUACGGAAAUAGUACUUUACCUACAUAUAACUCGGAAAUAUAAUUUCCUGGAAUAGUACUCUGGUUACAUCUAGCUCGGAAAUGUGAUUUCCAGGAAUAGUACUUUGGUUGCAUAUAGUUCAGCAACAUGAUAUCCAGGAAUAGUACUCUGGUUACAUAUAGCUUGGCAAUAUGAUUUACAGAAAUAGUACUCUGCCUACAUAUAACUCGGCAAUAUGAUUUCCAGGAAAAGUACUCUACAUACAUGUAGCUAGGCAAUAUGAUUUACAGUAAUAAUACUUAGGCUUCAUAUGGCUCGGCUAUAUGUUUUACAGAAAUAGUACUCUGGUUACAUAAAGUUUGGCAAUAUGACUUACAGGAAUAGUACACUGCAUACAUUUAUCUGAGUCAUAGUUAAUAUCAUGUGUGAAAAAUUUCGGUUUUCGUGAGACACUGAUUGAGUUGCACACAAAUAAGUUUGAUUUUACUUUCAAGUGAAGACUACCUUUAUUUGAUCUGCUAAGUAAGAUUAAGCAUUACAAAUUGGUCUCUCGUUUAGUGGGUAAGGUUGAUGAAGAUACAAUUACACGAGAGAAAAUAAUAGGAAUGAUUUUGAGAGUCAGUUAUGACCAUUUUAACUUGAAGCUUGCACGUAACUUAGCAGAAAUAAUUAGUAAAUAUGUUUCUAGUUUCCACUUCGAAAACUUGCGUUUUAAACUAAAUUUUGGCAAAUGACAGAAUUUCAGAGGCCAGUAAAAAUCGAUAGAGAUAUUACACACGAAUAUUUGUGUAAUAUAAACGAAACCUGAAUGCCUGAGUUUGCUAGGAAAUGCAAGGUAUGAAAGAUACCUGAAGUUCCUUCUUAAAUCACGACGCCACUUUUGUGAAUUUUGUGACUAAAGAUUCUGUUUUAGCUGUGACUUUCUGUCCUUUGUCCCCGUAGGGGCUUAGUGUCGUCAGUGUACCUCACGCGGUGCACCAUAGGCAUUACUUAGGGUUCUUUGUAGCGCCCUUUGUUCCCUAGCUGCAACCCCUUUCAUUCCUUUUACUGUACCUCCGUUCAUACCUUUUUUUCCAGCUUGCUUGUUAGUGCAACUGCUUUGAGGUUUCCUCCUGUGACACCUUUCAAACCUUUCUACUCUCAAUUUCCCUUUCAUCGCUGAAUGACCUCGUAGGUCCCAGCGUUAUGGAUUGGUCCUAACCUCUAUAUUUAUGUGCCUUGUCAAUGUUGAUGUAGCAUGUGGGCAUUGUAUGACUUUUAUUAUCACGCUGUAUUUUACUGUAGAGAGGGUUAUAGUAUAUCAUUAGUCCUGAAUAGCCAUAUUCACAGAAGUAAUGAGUCUGAAUUUGUAUAUCCAGGCAACCCACAUAUAUUUCACAAUUUGUUUAUUUUUAUGCCGUUGAAAAUCAGGUAAGAAAUCAGUUUUGACAUCAAUGGUUUUAAGAGCAUUACGUUUUUGUAACUCUUAAUAUAUUGAAGAUGAAAUAGAUGUCAUUUGGAAUAUUGGCAAGAUGAAAAAAAAAUGAAGUAUUUUGUGGUCAUGAAAAUAAGUAUGUUCCACAAAAACUCAUUCGUACUCCCAUAUUGUGACAACUUCAAAGAUAUUCCCAUCAGAUUGUAAACUUUGAUGACAAUGUUGCAUUUACGAGCAGUAAUAAAAUAUUUUUAAAAGUACUGAUAAACAACUAUCUUAACAGUACCAAUGGGUGUGUACAUCAAAUGCCAUGUAAUUCUUGUAAUAAAUUUCAAGUAGGAAAACCUGAAGUAUCACUGAAAAAGAUAACUUGACAGUAUGAAAAAAUGCAAAGAUACGCACAGCAUGGUGGUGUAAUUUUUGUCCAUGUUUGAGAUGAUAGAUAAUCCUGCCAUUAAUUGCACAAGUAGAAAGUUAACAUAUUCUAAUAAAAUCUUGAAAAGAAAUUAGUCGAGUCUAGUUUAUGAAAGAAAGUUUUUAUUAAAAUAUGAAAAUCAGGCUAGCUUUGCCUAAAUUUUAACUAUUUACUCCGAUAGGAAUAUGUGAAACUUGCCUAUUUUGAUAGCAUAGUUAAGGUUGGUCCAGAUAACCAAACGAUUCGAUUUUUAUAUUCCACAGAGAAAUAAUCCACAACAGGUGUCCUAUAAAAAUAAGGUUUAUUAAUGGCACGCCUUUCCCUGUCCAAAAGGCUCACCCUUCACUCUGCAAGUGUUAUAGCAAACGUAUUUUAACAGUUUGCAUGUUUGUGUGUAUUGUGGCUUGAUCAUCCUAAAUAUAUAAUAUAGAUUUAUUAUUUUGUGUAACAGUCUUUGAGUUAAUAUCUGAAAUAGAUUAAUCCUGUCAGGACAUAUGUACUGUUUUUCAUUUAUAUACUUAUCAUAAUUUACAAUUAAACUUCAAGUGUUCUUAUGAAUGUAGAUAUUGCCUCAAUAGCACCUUCUCAUAGUUUCCAUAUUGAGAUAAGGCAAGAUCUGUAUUGAUCGAAAAUAUAGUGGCUUAGUCAGU